GUCCUACGGGGGGCAGCAGUGAGGAAUAUUGGUCAAUGGACGGAAGUCUGAACCAGCCAUGCCGCGUGCAGGAAGACGGCUCUAUGAGUUGUAACCUCUUUUGUCGGGGAGCAAAGAGAGUCACGUGUGGCUCAUUGAGAGUACCCGAAGAAAAAGCAUCGGCUAACUCCGUGCCAGCAGCCGCGGUAAUACGGAGGAUGCGAGCGUUAUCCGGAUUUAUUGGGUUUAAAGGGUGCGCAGGCGGAGGUGCAAGUCAGUGGUCAAAUUGCGGUGCUCAACCCCGUACUGCCGUU
Molecule: ribosomal RNA, 293 nt
Filed under: uncultured bacterium
Lineage: Bacteria
Description: partial 16S ribosomal RNA
Rfam family: Bacterial small subunit ribosomal RNA
Source: RNAcentral